AUGGGCGCAAGCCUGACCCAGCCAUCCCGCGUGCAGGAUGACGGCCCUAUGGGUUGUAAACUGCUUUUGUUUGAGAAGAACUAAGUACAUUAAUGUGCUUUUGACGGUAUCUUACGAAUAAGCACCGGCUAACUCCGUGCCAGCAGCCGCGGUAAUACGGAGGGUGCAAGCGUUAUCCGGAAUCACUGGGUUUAAAGGGUGCGUAGGCGGCAUAAUAAGUCAGAGGUGAAAGCUUGCGGCUCAACCGUAAAAUUGCCUUUGAUACUGUUAUGCUUGAAUCAGGUUGAGGUAGGCAGAAUGUGGCAUGUAGCGGUGAAAUGCAUAGAUAUGCCAUAGAAUACCAAUUGCGAAGGCAGCCUGCUGGACCUGUAUUGACGCUGAGGCACGAAAGCGUGGGGAUCAAA
Molecule: ribosomal RNA, 404 nt
Filed under: uncultured bacterium
Lineage: Bacteria
Description: bacterial SSU rRNA
Rfam family: Bacterial small subunit ribosomal RNA
Source: RNAcentral